GCGAAAGUGGCGGAACUGGCAGACGCGCUGGAUUCAGGUUCCAGUGGGGUUAAACCCGUGCAGGUUCGAUUCCUGUCUUUCGCACCA
Molecule: transfer RNA, 87 nt
Filed under: Sandaracinaceae bacterium
Lineage: Bacteria; Pseudomonadati; Myxococcota; Polyangiales; Sandaracinaceae
Description: tRNA-Leu
Rfam family: tRNA
About the family: Transfer RNA (tRNA) molecules are approximately 80 nucleotides in length. Their secondary structure includes four short double-helical elements and three loops (D, anti-codon, and T loops).
Source: RNAcentral